RNAcentral lists this ribosomal RNA (301 nucleotides) under uncultured bacterium. Its description in RNAcentral is "partial 16S ribosomal RNA". It matches the Rfam family "Bacterial small subunit ribosomal RNA", at positions 509 to 809 of the family's 1533-position model. The record is from RNAcentral.
CAGCCGCCGCGGUAAUACGAAGGGUGCAAGCGUUAAUCGGAAUUACUGGGCGUAAAGCGUGCGCAGGCGGUUUCUUAAGUCUGAUGUGGAAGCCCCCGGCUCAACCGGGGAGGGUCAUUGGAAACUGGGAAACUUGAGUGCAGAAGAGGAGAGUGGAAUUCCACGUGUAGCGGUGAAAUGCGUAGAGAUGUGGAGGAACACCAGUGGCGAAGGCGACUCUCUGGUCUGUAACUGACGCUGAGGAGCGAAAGCGUGGGGAGCGAACAGGAUUAGAUACCCCAGUAGUCCCUGUCUCUUAUAA